This 497-nucleotide ribosomal RNA is filed under the name uncultured bacterium. RNAcentral describes it as "partial 16S ribosomal RNA". It matches the Rfam family "Bacterial small subunit ribosomal RNA", at positions 28 to 507 of the family's 1533-position model. The record is from RNAcentral.
GAUGAGCGCUGGCGGCGUGCCUAAUACAUGCAAGUCGAGCGAACGGACGAGAAGCUUGCUUUUCUGAUGUUAGCGGCGGACGGGUGAGUAACACGUGGAUAACCUACCUAUAAGACUGGGAUAACUUCGGGAAACCGGAGCUAAUACCGGAUAAUAUUUUGAACCGCAUGGUUCAAAAGUGAAAGACGGUCUUGCUGUCACUUAUAGAUGGAUCCGCGCUGCAUUAGCUAGUUGGUAAGGUAACGGCUUACCAGGGCAACGAUGCAUAGCCGACCUGAGAGGGUGAUCGGCCACACUGGAACUGAGACACGGUCCAGACUCCUACGGGAGGCAGCAGUAGGGAAUCUUCCGCAAUGGGCGAAAGCCUGACGGAGCAACGCCGCGUGAGUGAUGAAGGUCUUCGGAUCGUAAAACUCUGUUAUUAGGGAAGAACAUAUGUGUAAGUAACUGUGCACAUCUUGACGGUACCUAAUCAGAAAGCCACGGCUAACUACGUG